This 788-nucleotide ribosomal RNA is filed under the name Enterococcus faecium. RNAcentral describes it as "bacterial SSU rRNA". It matches the Rfam family "Bacterial small subunit ribosomal RNA", at positions 55 to 815 of the family's 1533-position model. The record is from RNAcentral. Lineage: Bacteria; Bacillati; Bacillota; Bacilli; Lactobacillales; Enterococcaceae.
AUGCAGUCGAACGCUUCUUUUUCCACCGGAGCUUGCUCCACCGGAAAAAGAGGAGUGGCGAACGGGUGAGUAACACGUGGGUAACCUGCCCAUCAGAAGGGGAUAACACUUGGAAACAGGUGCUAAUACCGUAUAACAAUCAAAACCGCAUGGUUUUGAUUUGAAAGGCGCUUUCGGGUGUCGCUGAUGGAUGGACCCGCGGUGCAUUAGCUAGUUGGUGAGGUAACGGCUCACCAAGGCCACGAUGCAUAGCCGACCUGAGAGGGUGAUCGGCCACAUUGGGACUGAGACACGGCCCAAACUCCUACGGGAGGCAGCAGUAGGGAAUCUUCGGCAAUGGACGAAAGUCUGACCGAGCAACGCCGCGUGAGUGAAGAAGGUUUUCGGAUCGUAAAACUCUGUUGUUAGAGAAGAACAAGGAUGAGAGUAACUGUUCAUCCCUUGACGGUAUCUAACCAGAAAGCCACGGCUAACUACGUGCCAGCAGCCGCGGUAAUACGUAGGUGGCAAGCGUUGUCCGGAUUUAUUGGGCGUAAAGCGAGCGCAGGCGGUUUCUUAAGUCUGAUGUGAAAGCCCCCGGCUCAACCGGGGAGGGUCAUUGGAAACUGGGAGACUUGAGUGCAGAAGAGGAGAGUGGAAUUCCAUGUGUAGCGGUGAAAUGCGUAGAUAUAUGGAGGAACACCAGUGGCGAAGGCGGCUCUCUGGUCUGUAACUGACGCUGAGGCUCGAAAGCGUGGGGAGCAAACAGGAUUAGAUACCCUGGUAGUCCACGCCGUAAACGAUGAGUG